AGAGUUUGAUCAUGGCUCAGAUUGAACGCUUGUGGCAUGCUUUACACAUGCAAGUCGAACGGUAACAGGUCUUCGGAUGCUGACGAGUGGCGAACGGGUGAGUAAUGCAUCGGAACGUGCCCAGUCGUGGGGGAUAACGCAGCGAAAGCUGUGCUAAUACCGCAUACGAUCUAUGGAUGAAAGCGGGGGAUCGCAAGACCUCGCGCGAUUGGAGCGGCCGAUGUCAGAUUAGCUAGUUGGUGGGGUAAAGGCCCACCAAGGCGACGAUCUGUAGCUGGUCUGAGAGGACGACCAGCCGCACUGGGACUGAGACACGGCCCAGACUCCUACGGGAGGCAGCAGUGGGGAAUUUUGGACAAUGGGCGCAAGCCUGAUCCAGCAAUGCCGCGUGCAGGAAGAAGGCCUUCGGGUUGUAAACUGCUUUUGUACGGAACGAAAAGGUCUGGGUUAAUACCCUGGGCUCAUGACGGUACCGUAAGAAUAAGCACCGGCUAACUACGUGCCAGCAGCCGCGGUAAUACGUAGGGUGCAAGCGUUAAUCGGAAUUACUGGGCGUAAAGCGUGCGCAGGCGGUUUUGUAAGACAGGCGUGAAAUCCCCGGGCUCAACCUGGGAAUGGCGCUUGUGACUGCAAAGCUGGAGUGCGGCAGAGGGGGAUGGAAUUCCGCGUGUAGCAGUGAAAUGCGUAGAUAUGCGGAGGA
Molecule: ribosomal RNA, 700 nt
Filed under: uncultured bacterium
Lineage: Bacteria
Description: bacterial SSU rRNA
Rfam family: Bacterial small subunit ribosomal RNA
Source: RNAcentral